CUAGGGAAGCAGAUAACCCAGUCUGAUC
This 28-nucleotide unclassified non-coding RNA is filed under the name Mus musculus (house mouse). RNAcentral describes it as "oocyte_clustered_small_RNA14189". Lineage: Eukaryota; Metazoa; Chordata; Mammalia; Rodentia; Muridae. The record is from RNAcentral.